RNAcentral lists this ribosomal RNA (429 nucleotides) under uncultured bacterium. RNAcentral's name for it is "bacterial SSU rRNA". It matches the Rfam family "Bacterial small subunit ribosomal RNA", at positions 355 to 776 of the family's 1533-position model. The record is from RNAcentral.
UGGGGAAUUUUGGACAAUGGGGGCAACCCUGAUCCAGCCAUGCCGCGUGAGUGAAGAAGGCCUUCGGGUUGUAAAGCUCUUUCAGCCGGGAAGAAAUCGCAUCAGCUAAUACCUGGUGUGGAUGACGGUACCGGAAUAAGAAGCACCGGCUAACUACGUGCCAGCAGCCGCGGUAAUACGUAGGGUGCGAGCGUUAAUCGGAAUUACUGGGCGUAAAGCGUGCGCAGGCGGUUGUGUAAGACAGGCGUGAAAUCCCCGGGCUCAACCUGGGAACUGCGUUUGUGACUGCACAGCUAGAGUAUGGCAGAGGGGGGUGGAAUUCCACGUGUAGCAGUGAAAUGCGUAGAGAUGUGGAGGAACACCGAUGGCGAAGGCAGCCCCCUGGGCCAAUACUGACGCUCAUGCACGAAAGCGUGGGUAGCAAACAGG